This 492-nucleotide ribosomal RNA is filed under the name uncultured bacterium. Its description in RNAcentral is "partial 16S ribosomal RNA". It matches the Rfam family "Bacterial small subunit ribosomal RNA", at positions 29 to 507 of the family's 1533-position model. The record is from RNAcentral.
AGUGAACGCUGGCGGUAGGCCUAACACAUGCAAGUCGAACGGCAGCACAGUAAGAGCUUGCUCUUACGGGUGGCGAGUGGCGGACGGGUGAGGAAUACAUCGGAAUCUACUUUUUCGUGGGGGAUAACGUAGGGAAACUUACGCUAAUACCGCAUACGACCUACGGGUGAAAGCAGGGGAUCUUCGGACCUUGCGCGAUUGAAUGAGCCGAUUUCGGAUUAGCUAGUUGGCGGGGUAAAGGCCCACCAAGGCGACGAUCCGUAGCUGGUCUGAGAGGAUGAUCAGCCACACUGGAACUGAGACACGGUCCAGACUCCUACGGGAGGCAGCAGUGGGGAAUAUUGGACAAUGGGCGCAAGCCUGAUCCAGCCAUACCGCGUGGGUGAAGAAGGCCUUCGGGUUGUAAAGCCCUUUUGUUGGGAAAGAAAAGCAGCAGGUUAAUACCCCGCUGUUCCGACGGUACCCAAAGAAUAAGCACCGGCUAACUUCGUG